This 45-nucleotide non-coding RNA is filed under the name Trichobilharzia regenti. The record is from RNAcentral. Lineage: Eukaryota; Metazoa; Platyhelminthes; Trematoda; Strigeidida; Schistosomatidae.
GUACAGAUGAAGAGUCCCAAGUAGGACGAAAUGCGCAUCCUGGAU